Long non-coding RNA from Drosophila montana, 582 nucleotides. RefSeq lists it as uncharacterized. The record is from RefSeq and is a predicted model, not a curated record. The transcript is spliced from 2 exons. Lineage: Eukaryota; Metazoa; Arthropoda; Insecta; Diptera; Drosophilidae.
AUAUUCUUUUAAAAUUCACAUGAAAAGCAUUUUCCUAAAUAUGCCUUGAGCUAACUUAAUGACAAUAAGCAUAAUUCAUGACUAAGCCACAAAUUGGCACAAAAGACAUCUAAGCCGGAGAAAUAGUUUAUGUGAAGAGGGCUGGCAUAUGUUUUAAGUGAAGACACACGCAUACACACGCAUAUGUAUAGGUGUGUGUGUGUGUGUGGCAUUAUAAAAAAUGCAUUUAUGCGCAAUUUGCAGAGCCAUUAGAAACAAUUUUCAUGCAUAAGAUGAGCGGCAGCGGCAGGAAGAAAUGGACAAAGCACGCAGCCAGGCAGACUAGUCCAGACAGACAGAGACAGAGGCAGUGGGAUAGAGGGUGAGAGGGAGAGGGAAACAAGUCGACUGCAAUGCACACAGUUUGGCCUAAAAAGCAAUUGACCUGCUAAUUGGGAAUUUCAAAUGGAAAUGACAGUAGCCGUAGCAGUGGCAGUCGCAGUGCCAGAGAGAAGCGCAGCACAAAAAGGAAAUGGACGAAAAUCGGCAACAAAAACAAAGGCUACAAAAUAAAAAAAAAAGGAACGCCAUGAAAACAACAAA